RNAcentral lists this small RNA (2284 nucleotides) under Pan troglodytes (chimpanzee). RNAcentral's name for it is "retained intron". Lineage: Eukaryota; Metazoa; Chordata; Mammalia; Primates; Hominidae. The record is from RNAcentral.
AAAAACGCCCCGACUUCCUGCCCCGCCAGAGCCAGGAAGCGGGAGCCGGGACCCAGGGCCCGGGAUCGCCGAGCCCGACCUCGGGCGCCCCGCCGGUCACCUCCGCGCGGACACCAGCCCUGCAGAGCCCAGGGAGAUGGAAGACUUCGCCCGAGGGGCGGCCUCCCCAGGCCCCUCCCGGCCUGGCCUGGUUCCCGUCAGCAUCAUCGGGGCUGAGGAUGAGGAUUUUGAGAACGAGCUGGAGACAAACUCGGAAGAGCAAAACAGCCAGUUCCAGAGCCUGGAGCAGGUGAAGCGGCGCCCAGCCCACCUCAUGGCCCUCCUGCAGCACGUGGCCCUGCAGUUUGAGCCAGGACCCCUGGUGAGGGCAGGGCUAGGUGGGCACAGGGAGGGGUGGGGCUGGGACAGGCACAGCUUUUAGUGAAUUAAACCAGCGAGCUAGUGCCUGGAGGGUCUGGAAAAGCAGAUCUAGAACACAGAGAGCCAGAUCUAGAAAAAGAGAAUGCUUUAGACAAGAGCCAGAAAGCAUGCCACGUGACCUCAACAGGCUUACAAGUGCCCAGGGUAGAUCUCAGUGCGCAGCGGGCAGGGUACACGUGGCAGGACCCCGCGGAGCCACAGAGAGUCCAGCAGCCUGGCAGAAAUCACAUCCCAUCCCACUCUGUGCCUGUGGCAGCGCCCCCAUCAGCCUGUGGCAGCGCCCUUCCGUGGACUCUAGGGGACCAAAUCCUUCUCUCCAAAGCCUUUUUGGCAGAUGCCAGCACGCAGUCAUUCACGAUUGAUGGUUGGGAAAAAGAAGCUGUUAGCCAUCCCAGGUCUAGGGAGCACAGCAGGCCCUGAUCUGGAAACAAGAAAACCACCACACACAGCUCACAAGGCAGACCACACAAUUGUGGAUCCAGAAGCCUCCGGAUGAGGCAGAAGAUACCUGGGAGAUGUGGAUGGACAACCGUGCCAUCCAGAAACACCCGCAGAGUCUAGAAAACCCAGCAGGUGAUUUAGAAAGGGAGAGGCCACAGUGCUGGCUGGCAGGGGAUCUGUAGACAAGGGUCUCAUCCCAAGAAGACCCCGUCCAGCCCAGCACAGGAUAGGAGGACAGCCUGGGGACAGCCAGGGCACUGCACCAUGUGGACAUGCAUAGUGGACCCCUCCAGAAAACCAGGAAACCGAUAGAGUGGGGAGAAGUGCCCGAGGCAUGCAGAAAGAAGAACAUGUCAGCUGCAAGACCAGAGGCUGGUCAUCCGGACGCCAAACCAUCAGAUAUGCAGAAAAUUAGGAAAUUGCAGUCUUUCCCCCGUCUACAUUCUCUUUCCAGAAGAGUGGUUCCCCCCACAACCACAUGCAUGGAGACUCUGGCCCUCUGAGCAAGGGGGUCCCCUAUUUAAGCCUUGGGGUUUCUAGAACACCAGAUUGUGGACAUCAGCCCAGGGAUCAUGCUGACUACCAUGUUCUUUUACAGAUGUGGAAACUGAGGCCUAGAGAGGGUCAGGGACUUGCCUGAGGUGACCCCGGCGGCCUCUGGGCAUUUUGAGGUUUAUUCUCGCAUAGCUCCCUCACCUCAUCAUCUUGUGGGGAGCCAAUCAGAGAUAGCUGUGGUCCCCUGGGCAGCUUCCUGUUGGCCUGUCUUAGAAUUUUGCUAUAUUUGGGGGGUGUGAAGAGUGGAUAUAGAUGUGUUAAAACUGUUUAAAGUGGAGAAGGAGGACCGGGCCUGGUGGUUCAUGACCGUAGUCCCAACACUUUGGGAGGCUGAGGCAGGAGGAUAGCUUGAGCCUGGGAGGUUGAGGCUGCAGUGAUUGCACCACUGCACUCCAGCCUGGGCGACAAGAGUGAAACCCUGUCUUGAAAAAAAAAAAAAAAAGUGGGGCCGGGCAUGGUGGCUCACACCUAUAACCCCAGAACUUUGGAGGCUGAGGUGGGUAUCUUUGGAGGCUGAGAUGGGUGAGAUCAGGAGUUCGAGACCAGCGUGGCCAACAUGGUAAAACCCCGUCUCUACUAAAAAUAUGAAAAUUGGCCAGGCGCAGUGACUCACGCAUAUAAUCCCAGCACUUUGGGAGGCUGAGGCAGGUGGAUCACCCGACGUCAGGAGUUCAAGACCAGCCCGGCCAACAUGGUGAAAUCCCAUCUCUACUAAAAUACAAAAAUUAGCCAGGCACAGUGGUACACACCUGUAAUUCCAGCUACUCGGGAGGCUGAGGCAGGAGACUCACUUGAACUUGGGAGGUGGUGGUUGCAAUGAGCCGAGAUUGCACCAUUGCACUCCAGCCUAGGCGGAAAAAAAAAAAAA